This is a long non-coding RNA of Ostrinia nubilalis (European corn borer), 674 nucleotides long. RefSeq lists it as uncharacterized. Lineage: Eukaryota; Metazoa; Arthropoda; Insecta; Lepidoptera; Crambidae. The record is from RefSeq and is a predicted model, not a curated record. The transcript has 4 exons.
AGCCAAAAGAGAAACUUGAGUGAUGCAAAAGUUAAAAUUGCUACGAUGGUGCUCACCACAUCUACUCGCAAGUCAAGUUCCUCAAGAUGAAGCAUUAAUAACGCAGCCCUGACAAAAUAAUGCAAAUUUGAAGAAUUCAUAAACAUAAAAAGAACUAACUACUAAUUAAGGUAUAGACUAGAAGAAAUAAUAAAAAUUAAAAUGUAAUAUAAUACUUAGCUACCUACGUUUCGCUACUUCAUACUGAACUGAACCGGAGUCUGACAAUGCACCACACGACCUUUUUCUGAUUAUGUAAAACGCCAUGAAUAGAAUAAAAUUGAUCACAUCUCACAAGGAAGGAGGAGUGAUAUGGCGAUAUCAUAUUUUCUUGGCGAAGAAGAAAUUACUGUCUCAAUGCGUAAAAUAUUACUCUACGAAGCAAGAAGGCUAAGAAUGAAGAAAGAAAAGAAGGCAAAACAUAAACGCAAAACGCAAAUAGUAGUUCACGACACGACAAGUUCAUCAGUAUCAUGGAAUUAUCGACAUUGGACUUGAAAUCUCAGUUGAAGUUCCGGUAUUGGAUUGACGACAGCAGUCAACUAUCGAUGAACACUGAUUUGAAGAUGCUUGACGUUCUACAAAGGAAGCAAGAAAAUAAUAAUUAGACAUAUUUACAGAUUAAAACAUAGUAG